GGGAAUUUAGCUCAAUGGUAGAGCGCUUGCCUAGCAAGCACAAGGCCCUGGGUUCGGUCCCCAGCUCU
This 68-nucleotide transfer RNA is filed under the name Rattus norvegicus (Norway rat). It matches the Rfam family "tRNA". Rfam says of the family: Transfer RNA (tRNA) molecules are approximately 80 nucleotides in length. Their secondary structure includes four short double-helical elements and three loops (D, anti-codon, and T loops). Lineage: Eukaryota; Metazoa; Chordata; Mammalia; Rodentia; Muridae. The record is from Rfam by way of RNAcentral.